Molecule: ribosomal RNA, 503 nt
Filed under: uncultured bacterium
Lineage: Bacteria
Description: partial 16S ribosomal RNA
Rfam family: Bacterial small subunit ribosomal RNA
Source: RNAcentral
AUUGGACGCUGGCGGCAGGCUUAACACAUGCAAGUCGAGCGGGGUGAUGGUGCUUGCACUAUCACUUAGCGGCGGACGGGUGAGUAAUGCUUAGGAAUCUGCCUAUUAGUGGGGGACAACAUCUCGAAAGGGAUGCUAAUACCGCAUACGUCCUACGGGAGAAAGCAGGGGAUCACUUGUGACCUUGCGCUAAUAGAUGAGCCUAAGUCGGAUUAGCUAGUUGGUGGGGUAAAGGCCUACCAAGGCGACGAUCUGUAGCGGGUCUGAGAGGAUGCUCCGCCACACUGGGACUGAGACACGGUCCAGACUCCUACGGGAGGCAGCAGUGGGGAAUAUUGGACAAUGGGGGGAACCCUGAUCCAGCCAUGCCGCGUGUGUGAAGAAGGCCUUAUGGUUGUAAAGCACUUUAAGCGAGGAGGAGGCUCUCUUGGUUAAUACCCAAGAUGAGUGGACGUUACUCGCAGAAUAAGCACCGGCUAACUCUGUGCCAGCCGCCGCCGUAA